AUACAGAGGGUGCAAGCGUUGUUCGGAAUUACUGGGCGUAAAGCGCGCGCAGGCGGGAUGGCAAGUCGGAUGUGAAAGCCCUUAGCUCAACCAAGGAAGUGCAUUCGAAACUGCUGUUCUUGAGUGUCGGAGAGGGUGGCGGAAUUCCCGGUGUAGAGGUGAAAUUCGUAGAUAUCGGGAGGAACACCAGUGGCGAAGGCGGCCACCUGGACGAACACUGACGCUGAGGCGCGAAAGCGUGGGGAGCAAACAGGAUUAGAUACCCUGGUAGUCCACGCCGUAAACGAUGAGUGCUAGCUGUUGCGGGAGUUGACCCCUGCAAUGGCGAAGCCAACGCAUUAAGCACUCCGCCUGGGGAGUACGGCCGCAAGGCUAAA
Molecule: ribosomal RNA, 377 nt
Filed under: uncultured bacterium
Lineage: Bacteria
Description: bacterial SSU rRNA
Rfam family: Bacterial small subunit ribosomal RNA
Source: RNAcentral